ACGAAGUUAGCCGGGCUUCUUCUACGGGUACCGUCAUCAUCUUCCCCGUCGAAAGUGCUUUACAACCCGAAGGCCUUCUUCACACACGCGGCAUGGCUGCGUCAGAGUUUCCUCCAUUGCGCAAUAUUCCCCA
Molecule: ribosomal RNA, 133 nt
Filed under: uncultured bacterium
Lineage: Bacteria
Description: partial 16S ribosomal RNA
Source: RNAcentral